AUCUUUGUAGUUUAAAUAAAAUAUUAAAUUGCAAAUUUAAAGAUUUUUUUAAUAAAAAUAAGAUU
Molecule: transfer RNA, 65 nt
Filed under: Acropyga fuhrmanni
Lineage: Eukaryota; Metazoa; Arthropoda; Insecta; Hymenoptera; Formicidae
Description: tRNA-Cys
Source: RNAcentral